UUAAUACUUCAAUUUGAUUUGGUAAAUUCUAAUUUGUCUUUGAUUCAAUUGGAUUUUAGAAUAAUGGGUCAUGGUCAUCCAAACAUUCCAUCAUAUUUAGCUUCAAGUCCAAACACAAGUUCCAAGUACUUGAUUACACAUAAGUCAAAUUCAAAGAUACAAGAAUACAAUCUAAAACCUUCCAAAACCUGCAUAGGCAAACAAUACGGGAAAUUGAAACCACUCUUUCUGUCAGAGCAAACCAGUUCAGUUGUCUUCCAAAUAAGAAAAACCUCCUAACCAUUUUCAUACCUACUUUCUCCUCAAUCAAGACUUCUCGGAAUUAUGGCUUAGGACCAUCAUAAAGUCG
This 349-nucleotide long non-coding RNA is filed under the name Lathyrus oleraceus (garden pea). Its description in RNAcentral is "Pisum sativum (pea) long non-coding RNA (PSAT_LNC015209)". The record is from RNAcentral. Lineage: Eukaryota; Viridiplantae; Streptophyta; Magnoliopsida; Fabales; Fabaceae.